UGGGGAAUAUUGGACAAUGGGCGAAAGCCUGAUCCAGCUACGCCGCGUGAGUGAUGAAGGCCUUAGGGUUGUAAAUCUCUGUUGUAGGGAAAGAUAAUGACGGUACCCUAUGUAGAAAGCACCGGCUAACUCCGUGCCAGCAGCCGCGGUAAUACGGAGGGUGCAAGCGUUGCUCGGAAUUACUGGGCGUAAAGGGUGUGUAGGCGGUUAAUUAAGCGAGAUGUGAAAGCCCGAGGCUCAACCUCGGAAUUGCAUCUCGAACUGGUUAACUUGAGUCCGUGAGAGGGGGGUAGAAUUCCUGGUGUAGAGGUGAAAUUCGUUGAUAUCAGGAGGAAUACCGGUGGCGAAGGCGGCCCCCUGGUACGGUACUGACGCUGAGGCACGAAAGCGUGGGGAGCAAACAGG
Molecule: ribosomal RNA, 405 nt
Filed under: uncultured bacterium
Lineage: Bacteria
Description: bacterial SSU rRNA
Rfam family: Bacterial small subunit ribosomal RNA
Source: RNAcentral